GAAAAUGUUGGCAGAAGCUGACCUAAAGUCUGCAUUCAAGGGAAAUUGCAUGCACAAAGGAUGAGGAGCAACCAUAAGCCUCCAGAUGGAGACAUGGGUGGGUGGUUGGAAGGCUGGUAGAUGACUGAACUUGGAGACCCUGCACAGCUCAUCAUCAUUGCCAGGGGCUCUCGUCUUUUUCCUCCCCUCCCAUGGCUCGCACCUCCAUCCUGGAGUCCAGCAGAGUCAGUGAAGCCCAGGCGGGCAGCGAUUUUGAACAUUGGAGGGAAAAAAGGUGAAAAGCACGGAGGGCAGAAGAUCACAGCACAGAAAGACCUUGUGAUGGAGAUGACAAAAUGAUUUAUGACAAACAGAGAAAUCUCCAGACAACACAAAAGACCGAUCCAGCUCAAAGUUCCUGCUAAAAAAUAAAUCCUGCUUUGUUUUUUUCUUUCUAUUAUUUACUUUUUUGGGUUAAAAUAAAUGUAAAAAAACACAAUUCAUGAACAGGAUGUAUUUAUUCACCUGUCCUACUUUGUAGCUUGUUUUAGUUUCAACCAAAAAAGUUCUUUUUUCAUUGAUGACCUUUGUUUCCAUGGAGAUGAAAAAUUAUGUUUGCUUUGCAUCUUCACACCACUUGUCGAACACAACGGUUCUGAUAUCUUUGUUGUGUUUAAAUAAAAUGUAAAAUUGUCUGAAUAGCAAAUUAAUUUAUAAAAUAUUUUAUAUAGAAUCAGAUCAGGACAAUAUUUCAUUGUUUAGAAGUCAUUUUUGUGAACUAUAUUUGCACAUGAUGAUCUCCUUGUUCUAAAUGCUGCAGCUCACCAAUAAUUUUAAUCAAACAAAACUUGUGCGCGAAGAAUUUGAGCUAAACAUUGCUGUUUCUCAUUUAAUAUUUAUAUGUUAAGAGUUUUGAGUGUAUAGAUAAAUGUAUGAUGAAUAAAAUAAAGAUAAAUUCAAUGUGUUGCUAUAAACGUUUUUUUUAAUUUGUAAUGAAAGUUUUACACUGAACAAAUAAAUAAAAUAUUUGAAAAAAAAUCAAUUAUUAUCAAUAUCCUUCAUUCUUACCUGAUCAGAAGUGGCUCAGCUGUUUGCUGAUGAAUUGUAAUUAGUUGCUUCCAGAGGACCGUUUAAUGAUUUUAGGUUUAGUUUGUUUAAACUUUUUUUCUUAUUAAAAAUAAUAAUAAUAAUAAUAAUACAACAAACACUAAAAGAUUUUUUUCUUUUUAUUAUUUUAAAUUUACCACACAGUUUAGAGGCACACACACAGUCAAAGUUCCAUUAGCUAAAGAAAACGAUAAUUACAUUCAUUGUUCCAAAGGCCCAACAUGGACGCCAUACUUUUUCCAGACCUUCAUACAGUAUGUUGACGGGGUUAAAUAAUUAGAAGGGAAAAAAGCAAUAUUGGUGCUUUUUAAAUAUUCUGUUAAUUCAUUGUUGAACACGAUUAUAGGCCUUCAUUUUUAACACAAACAGAGGCCUUUGUUAAGUAUCCUCACGUGGCCUGGUACAUGUGCAUUCUGCUCUUUUUGUCAUUUAUAGUAAUUCACUCAAAGGGGUAAACGAUUUUUUCACCCAGCAGUUUUAACGACAAACGUCUACAUACUCCAAACUAACACAAAUAGAAAUAAAAAUGUUGUCUUAAAAUAUUGUACAAUUAAAAGGAAAUAAAGUAAAAAUGACAAAUAUAUAUAUAUAAAUAUAAAUAGGUUGUGAAUGAUACUCCCUACAAAGUGUUUUACACGCUAAUGAUACACACAGAGUAAAAUUGUUUCAUAAAAAUAUAAAAAUAAAAUUGCAAUAGCAAAAUAAGACGUCCAAGAGACGGAACUUUAAAAUUAAGCCAAGUGAAUGAAGUGGUUCCCUUUAUUUCAGAGAGAGUGCAAAGCAACCUUCAUCUAAAUGAAUGCAAAUUGGCUCUGCCUCCAUCAGGCAUCAUGCCAAGUUUCUAUAGCAACCACAUCCUCUGUCAGUCUCCUUUCAUCCCCUCCUUUCUUCAGUCUAGUUUGCCCUCUGAAGAGUUUUGGUUUCUACCAAAAUCUGCUGAAAAUUAACUGAUUUAUUUGUGUAAUUUGUGGGGUUAAAAAGUAUCACAAUUAAUUUAUUAUCUGCUAUGGCAAUACUAUUAACAUGCCUAGACUUUUACUGACAAAAAACGCUAUUUCAUUUUUCGUUAAACAAACUUUAUUUCUACAUUAUACUGUAAAAAAUGUAAAAUUUUGUCCAUUUAUCACACGUUUAAAUACGCUCAGUAUUUGUUGAACAGGGACUGUUUGUUGUUUAAAGGUGUUGGGCUUGACUUCACGGUCAAGUUCAACACUCGGCCUCAGAAGCGGCUCUGCUCAUCCCCUGCCCUCGGCUGCAACACCCGUCUCACACCGCCACCUAGCGGCACGAUGGCAGAACGGCAGCGCAGCAAAGGGAGGUUUCGCAAUGAUGGGGAUGGAGCGCCUUCUUGUGUGGUAAUGAUACCAUUACACAAAAUGUCCUCAUCUCUUUGGAAUUUAAAUUUGUUUUUCAUUAAUGAGUCGAUUAGUCUGUGGAGAUAAUUACAAUAUUUUUCUACGUGUCCCUGAAAAUAUGAAGCAUGUAGUUGAAGUUAUUAUAGCCUAGUAUUUGCCACAAAAAAAAACGAUUUUCGUUUAUUUAACCCUUGUGCUAUCCUAGGCACUUUACCAUUGGGAGUUGGGUCAUCUAGACCCACUAGACAGUGCGCGGAACCUUUUUUCUUUAAUGAUUUGUGAUCUUCACUGGUGUCCGUGGAUUAAAUGAAAUCUUUCCACCUUUGUCAAGGUAGGGAGAAAUGACUUUCUUCCAAGACUCCGCCCUUACGUCAAUGUAAGGGUGGGGUCAUCUAAAAUAGCACAAGAGUUAAAAUUAUUUGCAAUUUUCUCUCAUUUAUUUGUAGUAGACAUUUCAAAAAAUCCUAUAUUCACUUCAGCAGAAGAACCUUUUGUCCUUAUUUAUUAUGCCAACACGACACACAUUAAGAGUCCAGAUGUAGACCAAAUUGAACCGAUUUUAUGUUGAAUUCUUCAUUCUUUAAGGUAAACAAAUGAAAACUAUUGUAAAAAAAAAUUACGUACAUUUAAAAAAGAUGUACCAACUGCAUGUCUGCAGAUAUGGACAUAAAACACGAACAAACAUAAAGCUAAAUGUUAACAUCCAGUUUUAUUUCACUUGUUGAACAUUUCCUACAGAAACAGCAUCAUCACAAAACGUUUGACACAGGCUGUGAUUUCUCAGUUACAUUACAUUCAGUUGGCACAAGGAUUUAAAAAAUGUUUUACUGCCACUAAAAUCGUACAAGGUGUUGCAACAAUACAGAAGAGCAUGUCUGCAAUUCAAUGAUGGAGUCCCCCCUUUAAAAAAGUCAGGGUGUACCUAAUGUAGUUAUUGUAGUGCUUUAGUUUUGUUAGGUUAAGCUGCUGUCAGCAAAUACAAAUGAUUAAAUCAGGUUUAUUGGCAUUUGAUGAUUGUCUAGGUGUUCUUUCUCCACUCACCCAACUCCUUUGAUGUUACAAAAUUAAUAAUUCAUUUUCAUUUCUGCAUGACAGGCGGGUUAAGAAAAAUACUUAAAGUUGGGUUUUUUUUGUUUAUUUUUUAGAUUUUAAAAUGAAUCCCAAAAUAAAUCACACACAGGAACAGCAGGAUUCUGCAUGGCAGUUCAAGCUUUUGCAAAAUCUUCACACAAAAAAACCUAAUAGUAGGGUAAUACAUUCAGUCACUGCAGUCUCACAAACAACACCAAACUUUCAGACAUCGGCUGCCUCCUGAGAACUCGUCACUUCAACGCAGAGACGAGGCGAAAAAUCAGAACCACCUCUCCAUAGAAGUUAGUCCUAGUAAAAACCUUUGUACUCCUCUUUAGGCACUUAAGAAUCAGUAAAUAACAUUCAUUGACCUUCCAGGGCCUGAGCAUUGUAAACACAGAAGCUCCUCUGUGUCUCACACCAAUCACAGAUACUGUCUUUGUCCAGAAAAUCAUAGAUUGCGACUAAAAGACAAUGCUUCUGUUUGUAGAUACAGUUUAUCUACAGCUCAUCAGACCAAUGGAGGGAAGGAAAAGAACAAGGAAUCCUGUUUGCUCUCACCUGAGGUGAAAACAGCCCUUUCUGCUUCUCUGUGCUGCAGUGAAAAAAGGUUUUCCACACACGUAUGAAUCCAUGUAAAUAACUGGAUACUCAAGUCUAAUCUUUUUCUUUUGUGAUGCUCGGAGAUGUGAGAAAAAAUCUGUGGAAACCCAUGUUUUUCACACUUUUUUAAGAGGCUUUUAUGUUUGAAAGACAACGGCAAAAAAAGUAAAUGAGUGACUGGACAGAUGAAAAAUUCAUCAAAGUAACCAAAAACAUAUGCCAAAAAUAUUUAGAUAUGAUUUCAAUAAUCAAAUGACCUUAACAGUAAAAACUCUACUCGUAUAAAAGGAUUUGCCUGGAGGUUUUUAUGGUUUUUUGUGCUAGCUUGUUCAGACCAACAUACAAACCAAACAUACAGAUUGUGUCAACUGUUUUUGGAACUAGAUAACAGGACUUGCCCUCUGCUCCACUUGGCUCUCAGUCAGCAGCUCAAUAUCUCAACUAUGUCUCCUAAGAAUAGAAACCAUUGACAGCGACUGUAAGCCUCCAUCAAUACACUGCAAACGUUAACCUGGGCCUGCAGCCUCAUGAGAAACGUGGCCAUAAAAUAGAUUUCCUUUUUAACACCUCCAAUUCAUUUAACAUCUUAAAAUGCAAUAAUUAGGCAUCUUUGAUUUUCCUGUGAGGUAAAUCACAGAACUCUAUAAUGUACAUUGCAGACUGCAUAAGAAUGCUUGCAUAUUUCCAGUCAACUUAUUCCGUUAGCAUUUCCAGCUAAGUGGGAAUUUAAAGUUGUCCGCGCUGUGUUGGAGUCAGACUAGUGUUGUCAUUUGAGAGGAAAUAUUCAUCCAUCAUACUGGUAGUAAAAGGAAGACAUAUGCGUUCACUCUGUGUGUGUUUUCAACCAGCUUAGUACCCCAGAUAUGGUCAUGCCAGCAAACGCACAUCAUUGUAAACCUUUCAGAGACCAUCUAUACCCAUGGAUUUUGAGCUGGAUCACCGGGAAUUUAAUGUCACAUUUUGCAGCGAGCCUAAACUUUAGCGAACUUUACUGUCAGACAAAACAAAAUAAUGCUCAAAAAUCCAGUGAUACGUUUACAAU
RNAcentral lists this long non-coding RNA (5157 nucleotides) under Oryzias sinensis (Chinese medaka). RNAcentral's name for it is "lncRNA (ENSOSIG00000022225.1)". The record is from RNAcentral. Lineage: Eukaryota; Metazoa; Chordata; Actinopteri; Beloniformes; Adrianichthyidae.